RNAcentral lists this long non-coding RNA (195 nucleotides) under Bos indicus x Bos taurus (hybrid cattle). RNAcentral describes it as "lncRNA (ENSBIXG00005021183.1)". Lineage: Eukaryota; Metazoa; Chordata; Mammalia; Artiodactyla; Bovidae. The record is from RNAcentral.
CAAACUUUCGUUUGGUUUAACACAAAGAUGACCUCCCUUCUACCGAGACCCUGAGCCUUCAGAUCCAUCAUAGGAUUCAAGGGCAUCCACGUGGAGUCCACCAGCAAAUCACUGAGUGACAGAGUGGAGGCUGGCAGGUACGUUUAUUGCAUAACAAGCCACUGCAACACUUAAUAGCCUACACAAUAACAAUGC